RNAcentral lists this ribosomal RNA (253 nucleotides) under uncultured bacterium. RNAcentral's name for it is "partial 16S ribosomal RNA". It matches the Rfam family "Bacterial small subunit ribosomal RNA", at positions 524 to 776 of the family's 1533-position model. The record is from RNAcentral.
UACGGAGGGUGCAAGCGUUAUCCGGAUUCACUGGGUUUAAAGGGUGCGUAGGCGGACAGGUAAGUCCGUGGUGAAAUCCUGCAGCUUAACUGCAGAACUGCCAUGGAUACUAUCUAUCUUGAAUAUCGUGGAGGUUAGCGGAAUAUGUCAUGUAGCGGUGAAAUGCUUAGAUAUGACAUAGAACACCCAUUGCGAAGGCAGCUAACUACGCGAUAAUUGACGCUGAUGCACGAAAGCGUGGGGAUCAAACAGG